GUCGGCGUGCUUAACACAUGCAAGUCGAACGGAAAGGCCCUGCUUUUGUGGGGUGCUCGAGUGGCGAACGGGUGAGUAACACGUGAGUAACCUGCCCUUGACUUUGGGAUAACUUCAGGAAACUGGGGCUAAUACCGGAUAGGAGCUCCUGCUGCAUGGUGGGGGUUGGAAAGUUUCGGCGGUUGGGGAUGGACUCGCGGCUUAUCAGCUUGUUGGUGGGGUAGUGGCUUACCAAGGCUUUGACGGGUAGCCGGCCUGAGAGGGUGACCGGCCACAUUGGGACUGAGAUACGGCCCAGACUCCUACGGGAGGCAGCAGUGGGGAAUAUUGCACAAUGGGCGGAAGCCUGAUGCAGCAACGCCGCGUGCGGGAUGACGGCCUUCGGGUUGUAAACCGCUUUCGCCUGUGACGAAGCGUGAGUGACGGUAAUGGGUAAAGAAGCACCGGCUAACUACGUGCCAGCAGCCGCGGUGAUACGUAGGGUGCGAGCGUUGUCCGGAUUUAUUGGGCGUAAAGGGCUCGUAGGUGGUUGAUCGCGUCGGAAGUGUAAUCUUGGGGCUUAACCCUGAGCGUGCUUUCGAUACGGGUUGACUUGAGGAAGGUAGGGGAGAAUGGAAUUCCUGGUGGAGCGGUGGAAUGCGCAGAUAUCAGGAGGAACACCAGUGGCGAAGGCGGUUCUCUGGGCCUUUCCUGACGCUGAGGAGCGAAAGCGUGGGGAGCGAACAGGCUUAGAUACCCUGGUAGUCCACGCUGUAAACGGUGGGUACUAGGUGUGGGGUCCAUUCCACGGGUUCCGUGCCGUAGCUAACGCUUUAAGUACCCCGCCUGGGGAGUACGGCCGCAAGGCUAAAACUCAAAGGAAUUGACGGGGCCCCGCACAAGCGGCGGAGCAUGCGGAUUAAUUCGAUGCAACGCGUAGAACCUUACCUGGGUUUGACAUGGAUCGGGAGUGCUCAGAGAUGGGUGUGCCUCUUUUGGGGUCGGUUCACAGGUGGUGCAUGGCUGUCGUCAGCUCGUGUCGUGGGAUGUUGGGUUAAGUCCCGCAACGAGCGCAACCCUUGUUCACUGUUGCCAGCACGUUAUGGUGGGGACUCAGUGGAGACCGCCGGGGUCAACUCGGAGGAAGGUGGGGAUGACGUCAAGUCAUCAUGCCCCUUAUGUCCAGGGCUUCACGCAUGCUACAAUGGCUGGUACAGAGAGUGGCGAGCCUGUGAGGGUGAGCGAAUCUCGGAAAGCCGGUCUCAGUUCGGAUUGGGGUCUGCAACUCGACCUCAUGAAGUCGGAGUCGCUAGUAAUCGCAGAUCAGCAACGCUGCGGUGAAUACGUUCCCGGGGCUUGUACACACCGCCCGUCAAGUCAUGAAAGUUGGUAACACCCGAAGCCGGUGGCCUAACCGUUGUGGGGGAGCCGUCGAAGGUGGGACUGGUGAUUAGG
RNAcentral lists this ribosomal RNA (1434 nucleotides) under uncultured organism. Its description in RNAcentral is "partial small subunit ribosomal RNA". It matches the Rfam family "Bacterial small subunit ribosomal RNA". The record is from RNAcentral.